AUACAGCUGAUAAGUGCCAAAUAGGACGAAAUACACGUCCUGGAU
Molecule: non-coding RNA, 45 nt
Filed under: Schistosoma haematobium
Lineage: Eukaryota; Metazoa; Platyhelminthes; Trematoda; Strigeidida; Schistosomatidae
Source: RNAcentral